RNAcentral lists this ribosomal RNA (183 nucleotides) under uncultured bacterium. RNAcentral's name for it is "partial 16S ribosomal RNA". It matches the Rfam family "Bacterial small subunit ribosomal RNA", at positions 350 to 525 of the family's 1533-position model. The record is from RNAcentral.
AGCAGUGGGGAAUAUUGGACAAUGGGGGCAACCCUGAUCCAGCCAUGCCGCGUGUGUGAAGAAGGCCUUUUGGUUGUAAAGCACUUUAAGCAGUGAAGAAGACUCCAUGGUUAAUACCCAUGGACGAUGACAUUAGCUGCAGAAUAAGCACCGGCUAACUCCGUGCCAGCAGCCGCGGUAAUA